Non-coding RNA from Citromicrobium sp. RCC1885, 62 nucleotides. The record is from Rfam. NCBI's taxonomy places the organism in Bacteria, Pseudomonadati, Pseudomonadota, Alphaproteobacteria, Sphingomonadales, Sphingomonadaceae.
GUAACGUUACCGGGCCCCUCUGGCGAGCGCGUUUGGCGCGCUCGUGAUGUCGGAACGAGAUG